AUUGAACGCUGGCGGCAUGCCUAACACAUGCAAGUCGAACGGCAGCACGGCAGUAGCAANACUGUGGGUGGCGAGUGGCGGACGGGUGAGGAAUACGUCGGAAUCUGCCCAGUCGUGGGGGAUAACUAGCCGAAAGGUUAGCUAAUACCGCAUACGACCGAGAGGUGAAAGCGGGGGACCGCAAGGCCUCGCGCGAUUGGAUGAGCCGACGUCGGAUUAGCUAGUUGGUGGGGUAAAGGCCCACCAAGGCGACGAUCCGUAGCUGGUCUGAGAGGAUGAUCAGCCACACUGGAACUGAGACACGGUCCAGACUCCUACGGGAGGCAGCAGUGGGGAAUAUUGGACAAUGGGCGCAAGCCUGAUCCAGCAAUGCCGCGUGUGUGAAGAAGGCCUGCGGGUUGUAAAGGCACUUUCAGUGGGAAGAACAGAUUCGGGUCAAUACCCCGGAGCCCUGACGUUACCCACAGAAGAAGCACCGGCUAACUCCGUGCC
Molecule: ribosomal RNA, 492 nt
Filed under: uncultured bacterium
Lineage: Bacteria
Description: bacterial SSU rRNA
Rfam family: Bacterial small subunit ribosomal RNA
Source: RNAcentral